RNAcentral lists this ribosomal RNA (531 nucleotides) under Dyella sp. A12T12A. RNAcentral describes it as "bacterial SSU rRNA". It matches the Rfam family "Bacterial small subunit ribosomal RNA", at positions 56 to 575 of the family's 1533-position model. The record is from RNAcentral. Lineage: Bacteria; Pseudomonadati; Pseudomonadota; Gammaproteobacteria; Lysobacterales; Rhodanobacteraceae.
UGCAAGUCGAACGGCAGCACAGUAGAGCUUGCUCUAUGGGUGGCGAGUGGCGGACGGGUGAGUAAUGCAUCGGGACCUACCUAGACGUGGGGGAUAACGUAGGGAAACUUACGCUAAUACCGCAUACGUCCUACGGGAGAAAGCAGGGGACCUUCGGGCCUUGCGCGGUUAGACGGACCGAUGUUCGAUUAGCUUGUUGGUGGGGUAAUGGCCUACCAAGGCGACGAUCGAUAGCUGGUCUGAGAGGAUGAUCAGCCACACUGGGACUGAGACACGGCCCAGACUCCUACGGGAGGCAGCAGUGGGGAAUAUUGGACAAUGGGCGCAAGCCUGAUCCAGCAAUGCCGCGUGUGUGAAGAAGGCCUUCGGGUUGUAAAGCACUUUUAUCAGGAACGAAAUCCUACUGGUUAAUACCCGGUGGGUCUGACGGUACCUGAGGAAUAAGCACCGGCUAACUUCGUGCCAGCAGCCGCGGUAAUACGAAGGGUGCAAGCGUUAAUCGGAAUUACUGGGUCGUAAAGCGUGCGUAGG